Molecule: long non-coding RNA, 3733 nt
Filed under: Homo sapiens (human)
Lineage: Eukaryota; Metazoa; Chordata; Mammalia; Primates; Hominidae
Description: non-protein coding lnc-PERP-2:26
Source: RNAcentral
ACAUCCAUGUGGAAAUCGCGGUGAUGGGAACUGGAAAUGAAAUAGGUUCUUUUUCGCAGUUGUUUUUCUGCAGAAAAUCAUCAACUGUGGAGAAGAAGAAGGGAAAUAAGAAAGAAAGAAAACCCUAAAAACCACCCUGGCGCCCGGGCCCGCAGGCCUCGGGCCGGCUCUGAAAAGUUUGGGCUGUGCACGUGAUGAGCGCGUAGGCGGGAGCCCCAGACAGGACCCGGGCGGGCAUUUCGAGAAAAAGCAGCGGUGACAGCCUUUGGUCCCCAUCUCCAUUGUUCCUGCCAGCUCUGGACCCCAGGCUGCAUGAGACGUAGGUCCCAGGGGACACCCGACCCCGUGGCCCCAGUCUUAGCAAGGGAGAGAUGCACUGACCUUCUGCCAGGUAUAGAACUAUUGAAUGGUACAGUUUGAGAUCUUCGAAACCAUCAGGACUGAUCAUUUUCUGGCUACUUUCUACAUAGGAAUCCUAGAGUUCCUUGGAGAGGAUAUGAAGGUUAUUCUCAGGCCAUGCAGAUGGGCAAGAAAGGAUGUGCGUCCAUGGUUCCUCUUCAAAUCCAACCAAAACAGCCUUGCUUCCGUUGGCUUUAUAUAAUACUGCAACUCUUGAUAAUCUGAUUUAACACAAAUUUCCUCAUUGAGUUUCUCCUCAUGAAGAAACGGCCUCAGUGAGGUAAAUCGGAAUGCACAGGAGCACAUAGCAGGUUAGUGCAGACCAGAAAUCAAACCCAGGCUUUCUGACUGCUCAAUAGACCACAAUCUACCAUGCUACCAUGGAAACUUUAAAACAGAUGAAAGUAAAAACAAACAAACAACAACUUAAAAAAACAAAAACAAAAACAAAAGCAAAACCCAGAGCCUCUCUAGGAAAUACCAACGUGCUUUUGCCAAGUGGGGUUUCUCUCACUUCAUAAGAGCAGUAAACACUAAACCAAGGGAAUGUGAAUUUAGAGGUUAGAAAAGAUAACCAGAGAUUUGGCCGUGCGUGGGGCUCAUGCCUGUAAUCCCAGCACUUUGGGAGGCUGAGGCUGGUGGGUUGCCUGAGGUCAGGAGUUUGAGACCAGCCUGGCCAACAUAGUGAAACCCUGUCUCUACUAAAAAUACAAAAAUUAGCUGGGUGUGGUGGCGUGCACCUGUAAUCCCAGCUACUAGGGAGGCUGAGGCAGGAGAAUCGCUUGAACUGGAGAGGUGGAGGUUGCAGUGAGCCGAGAUGGUGCCAUUGCACUCCAGCCCGGGCAAGAAGAUUGAAAUUCCAUCUCAAAAAAAAAAAAAAAAGAAGAAGAAGAAGAAAAGAUGCCAGAGAUUUGGCGGGGUGCCGGGCUCAUGCCUGUAAUCCCAGCACUUUGGGAGGCCAAAUGGACAGAUCACUUAAAGUUAGGAGUUCCAGAAAAGAUGCCAGAGGUUGGGCCUUUACAUUGUUUUGUAAAUUCGUCAAACCUUAAUCUUAUUUAACUUCCCCACCUAUACAAAAAUUAAUGCAGUAAUUGCUUUUUAAGGAAGCAUUCCAAAGGCCAAAUAAUUCAUAUAUGUCAAGUACCCUGGGAUUCAGGAAAGAAAAAUUCUCUAUAGCUCUAAAGCAAGGAUUAUAAUUUGAGGUUUCCUGACAGUUUUUUUUAAGAAAAGAAAUACCAACCUUUCUUUUCUGGGCCAAAUGCCAAGGUAGGUAAUAACCCCUUGCCCAUUUUCUUUCCCCAAGCUGUUUUAACUAGAUAAGAGCUCUGCCUUCAUUUCCUUUUGUGAACUGACUUGGGAUGUUGCCACAUGCCCUUCAACUACUGUCAAUGCUCUAGUUUGCUGAGUGCUUUCCCCUUCAGAAUGGAAAAGGUUUUGGCAUAAAUAUCUAGCUUUCUUCAAGGUACAAAAUGCUUUCCAAGGAGCAGAGGACAGAGGGAACAAACUUUCAUGUUUCCCAAUUGUAUUAGUCUGUUCUCAUGCUGCUAAUAAAGACAUACCCAAGACUGUGUAAUUUAUAAAGGAAAAAGGUUUUACUGACUCACAGUUCCACAUGGCUGGGGAGGCCUCACAAUCAUGGUGGAAGAUGAAGGAAGAGCAAAGGGAUGUCUUCCAUGGCCAGCAAAAAGAGAAUGAAAGCCAAGGGAAGGAGAAAACACCUUAUAAAAUCAUCAGAUCUCAUGAGACUUAUUCACUACCAUGACAACGGUAUGGGUGAACUGCCCCCAUGAUUCAGUUAUCUCCCACCGGGUCCCUCCCACAAAAUGUGGGAAUUAUGGGAGCUACAAUUCAAGAUGAGAUUUGGGUGGGGACAGAGCCAAACCAUAGCACCAAUACUAGAUCCCUCAGCUUCAAGGUGGCUCCAGUGAUCCUAAGAGGAUCAAGGAAGCCCUACCUCCCUGCUUGUCCUGGAUGUCUCUGACACAUGUUAAGGGAAAAGCAUUAAUAAAGUGCUCAAGAAACAAUUGUUCAAUAGGUCAGUCUUAUAGUCAAUACCUCAUCCCAUGCUCUGUCCCCUACUCUUUGAAAAACUGCCCAAAGAAACAAUGGAUCCACGGAGUCACAAAAACAGGGCAUCCAGUGACCCUCCCCAUCUUACCAGCAAUGUGACUUUCCCACAGUAUAACGACAGCAGUGCCCAGAGCCCAAUACAAGCAGGGCUCUACACUGAGACAGAGCUGAGUUCUAGUAGCAACUACCCUCCUUAUAGCAGUGUUAUUUUAGGCAAGUUUCUCAGCUUCUGGAAGGUUCUUUUCUCAGGCUUACAUACUUUUUACCCGAAAAGAUCUUGGAGUCGUCCAUAUCAGCACAAGCAAUCUACAUUAUUAGUUUUUUUAAUGGCUGCACAGCAUUCCAUGAUAUGGCUGUACCAUUACUUAACUAUCGAUGAACAUUUAGGCAGUUUCCAGUCUCUUUCUGCAGGAGCCAAUGCUGCAAUGUGGUGGGUCAUAACUUUUUCUUUUUUUCAAAUGUGGUCUCACUAUUUCUUCCAGGCUGGAGUGUAGUGGUAUGAUCACAGCUCACUGCAGCCUCGAACUCCUGGACUCAAACAAUCCUCCUGUCUCAGCCUCCAGAGCAACUGGGAGUACAGGUGUGUGCCACCAUGCCUGACUAAGUUUUUAAAUUUUUUGUAGAGAUGGGGUCUUGCUAUAUUGACCAGGCUGGUCUUGAACUUCUGGCCUCAAGAAAUCCUCCCACCUGGGCCUCCCAGAGUGCUGGGAUUACAGGAAUGCACCACUGUGCCCAGCCCUAAAUAACUAUUUUUAUUUCCCUUUCUGUAACCGCUCAUCUUUUGUGCAUUUUUCCUUGGGUAUUGGCCUUCUUAUCAAAGUUUAAGAACUGUUUAUAUAUAGGGAUUAACCCUUAGUCUGUUGUAUGAAUUGCAAAUAUACAUGUAUUUUUAUUUGUAUAUGCAAAGUUUGUCUUUUAUCUUUGUAUAUGGGAUAGUUUUCCAAACACAGUUUUAUUUUAUUUUAUUUUUCAUCUUGCAUGUCUUUCCAAAGUACCAAGCAGAGUUUUUUUAAAAGUUGUUUUAUGGCUUCUGGGUUUUUUAAGUCAUAUUUAGAAAGAUCUUUCCCACUCUGAAAUUAAAAAAAUAAAUAAAUAAAAUCUCCCAAUUAAAAAAAAUUUGUGACUUUGUUUUUCAUAUUUAAAUAUUUAUUCCAUCUGGAAUUUAUUUUAUUUUAAGCUGUAAAGUAGAGACCUCAUUUUAUUGUAUUUCUCCAUAUGGCCACCCAGUUGUUACAAUACCAUUUACUAAAUAAUACAUCAAUUG